Molecule: long non-coding RNA, 1418 nt
Filed under: Homo sapiens (human)
Lineage: Eukaryota; Metazoa; Chordata; Mammalia; Primates; Hominidae
Description: HSALNT0396273
Source: RNAcentral
CCGAGGUGCCGGGAUUGCAGACGGAGUCUCGUUCACUCAGUGCUCAAUGGUGCCCAGGCUGGAGUGCAGUGGCGUGAUCUCGGCUCGCUACAACCUCCACCUCCCAGCCGCCUGCCUUGGCCUCCCAAAGUGCCGAGAUUGCAGCCUCUGCCCGGCCGCCACCCCGUCUGGGAAGUGAGGAGCGUCUCCGCCUGGCCGCCCAUCGUCUGGGAUGUGAGGAGCCCCUCUGCCUGGCUGCCCAGUCUGGAAAGUGAGGAGCGUCUCUGCCCGGCCGCCAUCCCAUCUAGGAAGUGAGGAGCGCCUCUUCCCGGCCGCCAUCACAUCUGGGAAGUGAGGAGCGUCUCUGCCCAGCCGCCCAUUGUCUGAGAUGUGGGGAGCACCUCUGCCCUGCCGCCCCGUCCGGGAUGUGAGGAGCGUCUCUGCCUGGCCGCCCUGUCUGAGAAGUGAGGAGACCCUCUGCCUGGCAACCGCCCCGUCUGAGAAGUGAGGAGCCCCUCCGCCCGGCAGCCGCCCCGUCUGAGAAGUAAGGAGCCCCUCCGCCCAGCAGCCACCCCGUCUGGGAAGUGAGGAGCGUCUCCGCCCGGCAGCCACCUUGUCCGGGAGGGAGGUGGGGGGAUCAGCCCCCCGCCCGGCCAGCCGCCCCGUCUGGGAGGUGAGGGGCGCCUCUGCCCAGCCGCCCCUACUGGGAAGUGAGGAGACCCUCUGCCCGGCCAGCCGCUCCGUCCGGGAGGGAGGUGGGGGGGGGUCAGCCCCCCGCCCGGCCAGCCGCCCCGUCCGGGAAGUGAGGGGCGCCUCUGCCCGGCCGCCCCUACUGGGAAGUGAGGAGCCCCCCUGCCCGGCCAGCCGCCCCGUCCGGGAGGGAGGUGGGGGGGUCAGCCCCCUCGCCCAGCCAGCCGCCCCGUCCAGGAGGUGAGGGGCGCCUCUGCCCGGCCGCCCCUACUGGGAAGUGAGGAGCCCCUCUGCCCAGCCACCACCCUGUCUGGGAGGUGUACCCAACAGCUCAUUGAGAACGGGCCAUGAUGACAAUGGCGGUUUUGUGGAAUAGAAAGGCGGGAAAGGUGGGGAAAAGAUUGAGAAAUCGGAUGGUUGCUGUGUCUGUGUAGAAAGAGGUAGACGUGGGAGACUUUUCAUUUUGUUCUAUACUAAGAAAAAUUCUUCUGCCUUGGGAUCCUGUUGAUCUGUGACCUUACCCCCAACCCUGUGCUCUCUGAAACAUGUGCUGUGUCCACUCAGGGUUAAAUGGAUUAAGGGCGGUGCAAGAUGUGCUUUGUUAAACAGAUGCUUGAAGGCAGCAUGCCAAGAGUCGUCACCACUCCCUAAUCUCAAGUACCCAGGGACACAAACACUGCCAAAUCUCCCUCUGCGAGAAACACCCAAGAAUGAUCAAUAAAAAUAAAUAAAUAAAUAAAUAAAUAAAU